CCUCGGGGGGCCGUGGUCAGGGAACCGGUGCCAUGGCCUGGCCACCUUUGGGGUCAGCUCUGGGCCUCAGCACCGGCCGGCGGUGGAAUGCGGUGCAGCCAUCUACGGCACCGCGUUCUAGUCUAAAUUUAGACAGCCCAGCAGCGUAGAGGGGAUGUGUUGCAAGAACGUAAUCACGGCGGAGCUGCUGUCAAAUGCAAACAUUUGCUAAAGGUGAUUGCGUGAGCGCUGCACGGGAUUAUCAUUGCCACAUCCUAAUUGUCUUUAACAUUUCCUGCCCUGCCAUGCCACGUCCCAGAGGUUUGGUUUACGUUUCCUGGUGGAAGAUCCCCAGGGAAGGAGGAUUGCAGCAGGAUUGCAGCAGCAUUGCGUCACGGUAGGCUUGUGGCUAUCCCAAUGCUCAGCCCGGGACAGCAUCAACAACUCCACCUGAUUUGAGUGGGGAAUAAACACAGGCAGCAAGUGGCCCCUGCUGGAUACAAACUCUGUUCACAUCAGGAUGCUCCUACUCGGGAGAAUGAAACACCCUACAUCAGCAGGAGGGAAAUGUACACCAUGGAGAGAGAGGAGAAGAUGCGUCCUUUUCAUUUCCAGCAAAAUGGUGCUGCUGUGAUUCGUUUCAGCACACAGAAGUUAUGGAGGUGGAGAAGUCUCCUUGACUACUUAUUUCAACUCAGCCUUUGUAGUUUUGCUCAUUGUUUCUACCCAUCUGUAGAAAUAAUCUUCCUUAUGGGUUCAAUCACGUCCUGUGUGUUUUAAUGAGCCCAGUGCCUGUUGUAGGGAGUGAUGCCAGGAGUAAUGAUCUUUAGCUAUUUCUGUAGGAGAGCAGCUUAGCAGGCCAUAUGUCAGAUUUCCCAGUGAGCGAUUGUUUUGAGUUGUUUUUACACCGUAGUUUCUAUUCAUGAGAUAUUAAAGAAAAUAACAGCAUCUGGUUAAUGAAAUCCCGAAUUUCACCAUAUGAUGAUGCGUAUCAAUCCUGUUCUGUGACUUCCCUUGAAGCAGAUUGUCAGGUCAGUGCGGGGAAUUUCUGUGUGUAGGUGAAUCAGACAUCCUAUACUUUGAUAUUUUAAAGGUGAAGAGCUAAGAGAUGACAACUUGAAAUUUGACAAGACCUGAGUUCAGCUCCUGACACCAAAACAGCCUGCACCACCCUUCUACCACACAGUUGAGGAGACAAAAGGCAGACAGGAGAGACAUACAAGCUAUGAUCUGACCCUACAGCUGGAGGAGUCAAAGCUCACAGAAAAGGAGACUGAAUCAUUUGAAUCUCUGGAUUUCUUGUUCUGCCUCUCCAUUAAGAUCCCCAGAGAUUACUGAGCCCUGUUUCUGACCCUGUUACACAGAGCUGGUGCCUUGCUUCAACCCAGUUGUGAGGGCAGAAGAAACUGCAAACUCUGGCUUGGAUUGUUUGCAAACUGAUGCAAAAACCCUCCCAGGGGUGACCUGUUACCUGUAGUCUGUCACAGCUCCUCUGUGGCUGGCUCAGACCUCUUCUAAAUAAAGGAUUUACCAAAAUAA
Molecule: long non-coding RNA, 1518 nt
Organism: Parus major (Great Tit)
Lineage: Eukaryota; Metazoa; Chordata; Aves; Passeriformes; Paridae
Exons: 2
Source: RefSeq, a predicted model, not a curated record